AAUACGUGUACAAUAUAAGAUAGAUAAAAGAGAUGUGAUAAAUUAAUUUUUGAUUUUUAAUAAUUUUAAAUAUAGUUAGGAAAAAAAAUUAUGCAAAAAAUAUUUUUUAAAAUUGGUUUAGAAAGUUCUUUGUUUUGAGAUUUGGUUAUUAAAUUAAUUUUAAAAAUAAAUAAAUAAAUAAAUAAAUAAAUCUUGCAUUCACAAUAUAUUUCAGUAUUCAAAAUUUAUCCUACUUUUUUAAAUAUUAAAAUUUUAUAAAAAAUAAAAAAAUAAACGAAAUAAAGCUUAAUAUAAAUCUUUCAAAACACAAAACAAAACAAAACAAAAUAAAAUCCUUGGAGUCAUUUCUAAAUUUAUGCCCCUGACAUGAACAUUAAUUUAGUGUUAAAUUCUUCCUGCUAAACUGUCAUCAAAACACCCACUACCUUCAAAAAGACACAACUCCAUUCCAAUGUACAGUCUAAAACACAUUCUGCCCAACUGGUUCUACGAAGAGAGAGAUAAUGCGCAACCUCCAUCAGUCCCAGUAUCAGUCCACCACACCACCAACCGCAAGUCGAUAUACCGACACAAGACGUCGGCACCGAAGCAC
RNAcentral lists this long non-coding RNA (592 nucleotides) under Physcomitrium patens. Its description in RNAcentral is "long non-coding RNA (PPAT_LNC013457)". The record is from RNAcentral. Lineage: Eukaryota; Viridiplantae; Streptophyta; Bryopsida; Funariales; Funariaceae.